AGUGAACGCUGGCGGUAGGCCUAACACAUGCAAGUCGAACGGCAGCACAGUAAGAGCUUGCUCUUACGGGUGGCGAGUGGCGGACGGGUGAGGAAUACAUCGGAAUCUACUUUUUCGUGGGGGAUAACGUAGGGAAACUUACGCUAAUACCGCAUACGACCUACGGGUGAAAGCAGUGGAUCUUCGGACCUUGCGCGAUUGAAUGAGCCGAUGUCGGAUUAGCUAGUUGGCGGGGGAAAGGCCCACCAAGGCGACGAUCCGUAGCUGGUCUGAGAGGAUGAUCAGCCACACUGGAACUGAGACACGGUCCAGACUCCUACGGGAGGCAGCAGUGGGGAAUAUUGGACAAUGGGCGCAAGCCUGAUCCAGCCAUACCGCGUGGGUGAAGAAGGCCUUCGGGUUGUAAAGCCCUUUUGUUGGGAAAGAAAAGCAGCAGGUUAAUACCCCGCUGUUCUGACGGUGCCCAAAGAAUAAGCACCGGCUAACUUCGUG
This 492-nucleotide ribosomal RNA is filed under the name uncultured bacterium. RNAcentral's name for it is "partial 16S ribosomal RNA". It matches the Rfam family "Bacterial small subunit ribosomal RNA", at positions 29 to 507 of the family's 1533-position model. The record is from RNAcentral.